GGGGAAUAUUGCACAAUGGGCGCAAGCCUGAUGCAGCCAUGCCGCGUGUGUGAAGAAGGCCUUCGGGUUGUAAAGCACUUUCAGCGGGGAGGAAGGCGGUGAGGUUAAUAACCUUGUCGAUUGACGUUACCCGCAGAAGAAGCACCGGCUAACUCCGUGCCAGCAGCCGCGGUAAUACGGAGGGUGCAAGAGUUAAUCGGAAUUACUGGGCGUAAAGCGCACGCAGGCGGUCUGUCAAGUCGGAGGUGAAAGCCCCGGGCUCAACCUGGGAACUGCAUUCGAAACUGGCAGGCUAGAGUCUUGUAGAGGGGGGUAGAAUUCCAGGUGUAGCGGUGAAAUGCGUAGAGAUCUGGAGGAAUACCGGUGGCGAAGGCGGCCCCCUGGACAAAGACUGACGCUCAGGUGCGAAAGCGUGGGGAGCAAAC
This 425-nucleotide ribosomal RNA is filed under the name uncultured bacterium. RNAcentral describes it as "bacterial SSU rRNA". It matches the Rfam family "Bacterial small subunit ribosomal RNA", at positions 356 to 773 of the family's 1533-position model. The record is from RNAcentral.